GCUGGCUCUCCUUUCUCAGCUCCAUUUACAGCCUGCAAAUGUUUAACAUUACAAUAUUGUGGAGAUAAGGUAAUUAACAUUCUCAAAUGGAAAGCAAUAUCCACUCUAGCACACAAGGACAAUUCAGACCAAAAUGGCUAUGCACAUGCAGUAGGCAAAACUAAGAUGCCUCAGAAGAAAUAGAAAUUAAAGCUUUUUAGUGAACUUGUGCCCAACUUCUGCCAGCAUCAGAAACAACCAAGAAUAUUGCACCCAUCUAAUAACAACGACCAAGAAUUGACACACUUGCCUUGAAUGUGUCACUGACAUCACUGUCAAUAACUAUAAAAAGAGGCCUUCUCAUAAAUGGAACUAAAUCAGUAGGGUAAAUGCUGUUUAAUCCUGGAAAAAGGAUAAUUUAAUGUCAGAUAAAUGACAAGUCCUGCCAUAAAUGAACAGUACGUCUACUCUGCAUCCCACAAAAUAUCAACUAAUAAUCAGAAUUUUCUCAAGUAUGUUGCCAGAAGUGCCCAUUAUUAGUGAGAAGAACAGCUAACAUAAGAAUGUUAGAAGAAAAGAAAUGCAUAAAACUUCAUCCCCAUCUUGAUUAUCUUCAGUUGUAUUGUACAGUCAAUCUCAGAUGUUCAAGUCAUUGUUUUUUGUAGUUGGGUUAUGCCUGGAAUGGUGUUUGAGUUAUUAAUGUGUUGGAGAGGAGGCAUGAGGUGGUGACUGGACAAUAGCACCACUUUAUGUUAUCCAAAGUUUGCAGUGAGGAAUUACAAAGCCCUCAAAGGAGCAGAGAUCAACAUCAGAGAAAAAUUUGAGGUUUCAAUUGAGGAACCUGUUCUCUUGUUUUCCAGCUUCAUCAAAAGCUAAGUAUUCUGUGCCUUUCUAGAGUUUUUGGAUGUAAUGGCUCUUUAUUCUUUCUUUCCUUCCUCCAAUAAACAAAAUAUAUAUGAACCCUUUUUUCAUGUUUCUUCUUCAGUAGUCUUUUGUAUAAUAAUAUAAUUCCAGCAUAGUUAAGUGGCAUCCCCUAUGUUGGCAUUCUCAAUAACAUUUCAGUUAAAAAGACACAUUUCAGUGGUCACUCACAUGGAUUUACAUGGUAGUUUGUCACCAAUGAGCUUUUUUAUGUAGUCAUCUGUCAUCAUCAGUUUUAUUAGGACCUGAUGUAGUUAGGUAACAGGAACAAGUAGUAGCUUUAGUCAAUAAAAUUUCAUAGAGCCUAGUACUUUUAAGAAUAACAUGAAAAUACAGUAUAAAACAAGAAAGGAAUAUACAUGUAAACCCACACACACAAACACAUAAAGAAUGUAGAAUUACCUGUGUAAUUGCAUUAACUUGGCAUACAAGAAUUGAUUAGGCGACUACAGGUAAAUGGAAAUUUGAAGGUUUGUGACCAAACAGGUGCAUGAAAGGGAAAUUUCUUCAUAAUGUUCUAAGUACCUCCAUUUCCACGAGCACCAAAAUACAAGCAGUCUCCUUUACUUCGCCUUGAAGAUUGGUUUGGACAAUUACUAGGUGAACUAAAUGGAGAAGUGGAAGCUCCAUCCAAGUCGACGUUAUGAGAUUGAAAGUUCCUCACAACAUUCUCAGCAGUGUUGAUAGAAGUUCCAGCACCUAGGGGAGAUGAAAGUUUGUCCAACUCUUCCUGAAGCAAUUUAAUGAUGCUAAGAGGCAUGGAAAUCCCAUAUGUCUAUAGUGGAUAUGAGGAAGGAAAAGAAAGAAAGAAGUAAACAUGAACUCCAAAGUAAAGCAAAACAUGCAACCUGAAGCUGACAAAUAUAUAAGGAGAACUCCAUCAGCAAGUAGCUCCUCACAAAUCAUACAAGUGAAACCACAAGCCCAUGUAUAAAUUGGGUGUCAAUGUCAUAUUAUCUACAACAACAUUAAAAAAAAGUAGUCUUUGUCAUGUCAACUUCUGAAGGGGCAUUACAUCAAUCAGCAUUGUUAAAUAAGUAGACAAACAUUGUGAAUGCAUAUCUUCGUGGGCACAUUAUAUACAAGCACAACACAUCAAAGAACACUAAUUUAUAAUAUGUGAUUAGGCAUCCAACAUGUAAAUGUCUCUAAUUCAUAAAACUACAUUGUAAGUCAAGAUUCCUAAAUGGAUGAGCACCUCACAGCCUUGGUUCACCAGACAACAUAAAAUCUCUAUAAUCGUCUCUGUUCUAUGCGGUUAUGACAUUUUUGUUAUCAGCUCAGAGCCUCAACCUACAGUCAAAGGACUCGAAUCCUCCUUAAUCCAAAGGGAACAAAAUUAAUAUGACUUCCACCACAUUCAAUAAUCAGAAAGCAGCACAUUUCCUUCCUCUUGAUAAUAUGAUGAGUGCUAAAUCAACUUGGAUAAACUUCUUUUUUUUAAGCUGUCGUCAUCACUCAAACCAUCUUUAAACUUUGAAGCCGUCACCAGUCUCCCAGUAAGAAAGCAAGAGAAACCACCAACGUGAAAGUUGUCAAAGCAUCAGAUCCUCAAUUUCCAAGUUCUAUGGUAAUCAGGACAUUGAGAUGUUAAAAUGCUUCAACAAACCAUUUUAAUAUUAAUUUAAUACCGGACCUUGCCCAAAGCAGGUAAAUUUCAGAUUUUCAAUACAUACCUGACUUGGAGGUUCCAUAAACCUUUAGGUCAAAACAUGAGAAAUAGGUAAUUAAGGAGCAGAAAUGUAACGGUAAAACUUAUAUAUCAUAUCAUACUCACUGCUUAAAAAUGCAUCAAAGACGGAUGAUAUAAUACAACUUUCCGUGAGUUUGCAGGCAAAGUAGGAUCAGUGAUGUCCUGGUUGUAGUUAAUGCGACUAGGCCCUGG
Molecule: unclassified non-coding RNA, 2785 nt
Filed under: Hevea brasiliensis (rubber tree)
Lineage: Eukaryota; Viridiplantae; Streptophyta; Magnoliopsida; Malpighiales; Euphorbiaceae
Source: RNAcentral